This 622-nucleotide ribosomal RNA is filed under the name uncultured bacterium. Its description in RNAcentral is "bacterial SSU rRNA". It matches the Rfam family "Bacterial small subunit ribosomal RNA", at positions 202 to 842 of the family's 1533-position model. The record is from RNAcentral.
CAAAGGAGCAAUCCGCUGAAAGAUGGGCUCGCGUCCGAUUAGGUAGUUGGCGGGGUAACGGCCCACCAAGCCGACGAUCGGUAGCCGGACUGAGAGGUUGAACGGCCACAUUGGGACUGAGACACGGCCCAGACUCCUACGGGAGGCAGCAGUGAGGGAUAUUGGUCAAUGGGGGAAACCCUGAACCAGCAACGCCGCGUGAGGGAAGACGGUUUUCGGAUUGUAAACCUCUGUCCUCUGUGAAGAUGAUGACGGUAGCAGAGGAGGAAGCUCCGGCUAACUACGUGCCAGCAGCCGCGGUAAUACGUAGGGAGCAAGCGUUGUCCGGAUUUACUGGGUGUAAAGGGUGCGUAGGCGGCUUUGCAAGUCAGAAGUGAAAUCUAUGGGCUUAACCCAUAAACUGCUUUUGAAACUGCAGGGCUUGAGUGAAGUAGAGGUAGGCGGAAUUCCCGGUGUAGCGGUGAAAUGCGUAGAGAUCGGGAGGAACACCAGUGGCGAAGGCGGCCUACUGGGCUUUAACUGACGCUGAGGCACGAAAGCGUGGGUAGCAAACAGGAUUGGAUACCCUGGUAGUCCACGCUGUAAACGAUGAUUACUAGGUGUGGGUGGACUGACCCCAUCC